CGAUGAAGAACGCAGCGAAAUGCGAUAAGUAAUGUGAAUUGCAGAUUUUCAGUGAAUCAUCGAAUCUUUGAACGCACCUUGCGCUCCUUGGUAUUCCGAGGAGCAUGCCUGUUUGAGUGUCAUUAAAUUCUCAACUCUGAUCGAUUGUUUCGACUUCGGAGNCUUGGAUUUGGAGCGUGCUGGCGUCGGUCGGCUCCUCUUAAAUGCAUCAGCGGAAUCUAACGUUUCGGACGUCAGUGUGAUAAUCAUGUUGCGCUGUCUGUCUGAUCUGAAAGCCCGCUCACAAUGGUCUUCGGACAACUUCAUAUCAAAUUUGACCUCAAAUCAGGUAGGACUACCCGCUGAACUUAA
Molecule: ribosomal RNA, 351 nt
Filed under: uncultured Piloderma
Lineage: Eukaryota; Fungi; Basidiomycota; Agaricomycetes; Atheliales; Atheliaceae
Description: eukaryotic LSU rRNA
Rfam family: 5.8S ribosomal RNA (bases 1-122)
Source: RNAcentral